UACAGAGGGGGCAAGCGUUGUUCGGAAUUACUGGGCGUAAAGGGCGCGUAGGCGGCCUGUUAAGUCGAACGUGAAAUCCCCGGGCUCAACCCGGGAACUGCGUCCGAUACUGGCAGGCUUGAAUCCGGGAGAGGGAUGUGGAAUUCCAGGUGUAGCGGUGAAAUGCGUAGAUAUCUGGAGGAACACCGGUGGCGAAGGCGGCAUCCUGGACCGGCAUUGACGCUGAGGCGCGAAAGCCAGGGAAGCAAACGGG
Molecule: ribosomal RNA, 253 nt
Filed under: uncultured bacterium
Lineage: Bacteria
Description: partial 16S ribosomal RNA
Rfam family: Bacterial small subunit ribosomal RNA
Source: RNAcentral